GCGCAGUGGUUAGCGGUCUUAGAAGACCCUGGUUCUUGGCUGGGGGACCUUUCUGUGUGGAGUUUGCCUGGUGCAUGCGUGGGUUUUCUCCAGGGACUCCGGCUUCCUCCAGCCAUCCAAAAGCAUGCUUCAUAGGUUAAUUGGUGACUCUAAAUUGUCCCUAGUUGUGAAUGAGAGUGUGUGUGGUGGGGGGGGGGGGCUGUGAUUGUGGUCCUACGACAGACUGGUGACCUGACCAGGCUGGAUCCUGCCUUCACCCCUGAGUGGCCAUGAUAGGCUCUGGCACCCCCGUGACCCUGAAAGGGACAAAACGGUUUAGAAAAUGGAUGGAUGAUAAGAGAGACAUUUAAGAUGAAUCAUUAAAUGGUACAUUUAAUUUUUUUUCAUUGUUAAACUACUAAGAAGCUUGAAGCACAAAAGGGUCCCCACCAAAGGUCAAUCGAGUGAAGAAAAGAGCAUUUUGAAACAGAGGUUUCCUGACAGCUGAUGGGAUGAAACUGUCACAGACCAAUCAGUGCUGGAGCGUGACGGCAUAAUCCCACAUCUGUAAAUGAAUUCAGAUCCAUCAGAUGUAAACAUUGUUUUCAAUUUGUUGUGACAACAGAACCCGUUUCAGAGCAGAGCAGUUUAUAAUGAACUUCCAUCACGAAGGAAUAAACAAAUGUGUUUAAAAAGGAAAAAAAAAAACCUCUUAUAUUCAGAAAGAGACAGAGAUGAAGAAGUUCAGCAUAUUUUGGAAAUUUGUCCACAACAAUCCCAGAAUUUGCAAGGUACGCAUGCAUCACCAUGCUAGCAAUAACUGACAGGAAGGUCAUUUAGGAUUCUGUCUGCUGGUAUGAAAACAACAAGCUCCAGAUUGAUGCCAGCACGAUGGAGAUGUCAUGUUGAUGCCAGAGGUCAGAGCAGAAUGACCAGACUGGUUCCAGCUGAUAAAAAGACAACGGUGACGUAAAUAACCACUGGUUAGAACCGAGGUCUGCAGAAGAACAUCUCUGAACACACAUGUCCAACCUUGAGGCAGAUGGGAUACAGCUGCAGAAGAACACACCGGUUAGUUUUCAGCUUAGAACAGUAAAACUGAAGCUACAAUUCACAUAGGCUCACCAAAAUUGGAAAGUAGACGAUUGGAAAAACUUGCCCUGGUCUGAUGAGUCUCCAUUUCAGCUGCCACAAACUGAUAGCAGCCUAUGUGUUCACAAAUAAUUGGGAAGAGUUAAGCUUUUAGCUUAUAAACAAAAUUUCAAGCUUUAAGGGAAAAGGACAAAUAAUUCAGUCAUAGUUUAGUUUUCAUAGUUUUGUUUCUGUUAGUGCGUGAGUUGGACAGAACAUGUUCCAGAUCAGAUGAAUUCAUAAUGUUAAGAGCUUCACUGUUCUGACCUCAACCAAACUCAAUGAUUCUGUAGCCAGGCCUUCUCAUACCACAGCAGCGUCUAAACCAGACAUGGGCAAACUACGGCCCGCGGGCCAGAUCCGGCCCCGCCCUCAUGUUUGGUCCGGCCCGCUGAACAACAUCAGAGAGGCAUGAAUUUUUUUCCCGUCUGGCCGCAUAGAACGUGACUUUUUCUUCUCCCUUCUGCAGUCUGUGCCUGUAUCUGAACCCCCCAGAAUCUCUGUUAAAUAAAACAGAAUAUUGUUUUCUUUCUACAUAUUAUUUCACCUUUCACAGCUCGCUGAUUCUUUCAGAGCAAUUAUGAAGCUGCGUUUUUUCAAACAGCCUGUUCUGUGUCCUGAUUAGCUGGAGACCUUCUCAAUCAUGUGUGCAGAUCUGCUGAUCUGCAUAAAUCUUUGAUCACGAUCAGAUCUUUGUUUCAUUCUCUUAAACUGGACUUAUUUUUCUAUGACGGUUUGAACUUUGAGAGUUUAAACAAGAGAGAAAAAGAGUAAAAAUGGCCACGUUGUCAUGGUGCCCCUGCUCUCCUCUGCACCUCCUGAUUGGACCCAGCUGCAGCACUCAUCUCAUCAGCCACAGUCAGCUAUAUAGGAGGGGCCUGCUCCAGCAUUCUUCGCCAGUUCGUUACCUUACCUGGAUUUUUUCAUACCACGUGCUGCCCUGGGUCCAUCUUUCUCUCCUUGGUCAAGAAGCUCCACCAUCCACCCUGCUGCCAACUCCACCCUACCCACCACCUGGAUCUUCGCUCCGUCAUCUGAACUCACUCGGAUCCUCCUCUGCCUCUUCCUGCUGCUGCACUCCAGCUUCAGUGCCCAAACUCCCAAGGACAAUAAAACUAAUUUCUCUUUA
Long non-coding RNA from Oryzias melastigma (Indian medaka), 2239 nucleotides. RefSeq lists it as uncharacterized. The record is from RefSeq and is a predicted model, not a curated record. The transcript is spliced from 3 exons. NCBI's taxonomy places the organism in Eukaryota, Metazoa, Chordata, Actinopteri, Beloniformes, Adrianichthyidae.